GGGGAAUAUUGCACAAUGGGCGCAAGCCUGAUGCAGCGACGCCGCGUGGGGGAUGACGGCCUUCGGGUUGUAAACUCCUUUCGCCAGGGACGAAGCGUUUUGUGACGGUACCUGGAGAAGAAGCACCGGCUAACUACGUGCCAGCAGCCGCGGUAAUACGUAGGGUGCAAGCGUUGUCCGGAAUUACUGGGCGUAAAGAGCUCGUAGGUGGUUUGUCACGUCGUCUGUGAAAUUCCACAGCUUAACUGUGGGCGUGUAGGCGAUACGGGCUGACUUGAGUACUGUAGGGGUAACUGGAAUUCCUGGUGUAGCGGUGAAAUGCGCAGAUAUCAGGAGGAACACCGAUGGCGAAGGCAGGCUACUGGGCAGUUACUGACGCUGAGGAGCGAAAGCAUGGGUAGCAAACAGGAUUAGAUACCCUGGUAGUCCAUGCCGUAAACGGUGGGCGCUAGGUGUAGGGACCUUUUGGGGUUUCUGUGCCGUAGCUAACGCAUUAAGCGCCCCGCCUGGGGAGUACGGCCGCAAGGCUA
This 530-nucleotide ribosomal RNA is filed under the name uncultured bacterium. RNAcentral describes it as "bacterial SSU rRNA". It matches the Rfam family "Bacterial small subunit ribosomal RNA", at positions 356 to 896 of the family's 1533-position model. The record is from RNAcentral.